RNAcentral lists this transfer RNA (103 nucleotides) under Candidatus Sulfotelmatobacter kueseliae. RNAcentral describes it as "tRNA-Arg". It matches the Rfam family "tRNA". Rfam says of the family: Transfer RNA (tRNA) molecules are approximately 80 nucleotides in length. Lineage: Bacteria; Pseudomonadati; Acidobacteriota; Terriglobia; Terriglobales; Candidatus Korobacteraceae. The record is from RNAcentral.
GCGCCCUUAGCUCAGUUGGAUAGAGCGUCUGGCUACGAACGUUGGAUAGAGCGUCUGGCUACGAACCAGAAGGUCGGGAGUUCGAAUCUCUCAGGGCGCACCA